RNAcentral lists this ribosomal RNA (440 nucleotides) under uncultured bacterium. RNAcentral's name for it is "partial 16S ribosomal RNA". It matches the Rfam family "Bacterial small subunit ribosomal RNA", at positions 338 to 795 of the family's 1533-position model. The record is from RNAcentral.
CCUACGUGAGGCAGCAGUGGGGAAUAUUGCACAACGGGGGAAACCCUGAUGCAGCGACGCCGCGUGAGUGAAGAAGUAAUUCGUUAUGUAAAGCUCUAUCAGCAGGGAAGAAAAUGACGGUACCUGAGUAAGAAGCCCCGGCUAACUACGUGCCAGCAGCCGCGGUAAUACGUAGGGGGCAAGCGUUAUCCGGAUUUACUGGGUGUAAAGGGAGCGUAGACGGCAGUGCAAGUCUGGAGUGAAAGGCGGGGGCUCAACCCCCGGACUGCUCUGGAAACUGUACGGCUGGAGUGCAGGAGAGGUAAGUGGAAUUCCUAGUGUAGCGGUGAAAUGCGUAGAUAUUAGGAGGAACACCAGUGGCGAAGGCGGCUUACUGGACUGUAACUGACGUUGAGGCUCGAAAGCGUGGGGAGCAAACAGGAUUAGAUACCCGGGUAGUC